GGGUUGUGAGGUUAAGCGACUAAGCGUACACGGUGGAUGCCCUGGCAGUCAGAGGCGAUGAAGGACGUGCUAAUCUGCGAUAAGCGUCGGUAAGGUGAUAUGAACCGUUAUAACCGGCGAUUUCCGAAUGGGGAAACCCAGUGUGUUUCGACACACUAUCAUUACGUGAAUACAUAGCGUAAUGAAGCGAACCGGGGGAACUGAAACAUCUAAGUACCCCGAGGAAAAGAAAUCAACCGAGAUUCCCCCAGUAGCGGCGAGCGAACGGGGAGCAGCCCAGAGUCUGAAUCAGCAUGUGUGUUAGUGGAAGCGUCUGGAAAGUCGCACGAUACAGGGUGAAAGUCUCGUACACAAAAGUGCAUGUGUUGUGAACUCGAAGAGUAGGGCGGGACACGUGGUAUCCUGUCUGAAUAUGGGGGGACCAUCCUCCAAGGCUAAAUACUCCUGACUGACCGAUAGUGAACCAGUACCGUGAGGGAAAGGCGAAAAGAACCCCGGCGAGGGGAGUGAAAAAGAACCUGAAACCGUGUACGUACAAGCAGUGGGAGCACCCUUCGGGGUGUGACUGCGUACCUUUUGUAUAAUGGGUCAGCGACUUAUAUUCUGUAGCAAGGUUAACCGAAUAGGGGAGCCGAAGGGAAACCGAGUCUUAA
RNAcentral lists this ribosomal RNA (653 nucleotides) under Salmonella enterica. RNAcentral's name for it is "partial 23S ribosomal RNA". It matches the Rfam family "Bacterial large subunit ribosomal RNA", at positions 1 to 687 of the family's 2925-position model. Lineage: Bacteria; Pseudomonadati; Pseudomonadota; Gammaproteobacteria; Enterobacterales; Enterobacteriaceae. RNAcentral also lists the same sequence under 1 other name. The record is from RNAcentral.